GCGGCGGUAAUUCAGCGGUAGAAUGCCUGCUUGCCAAGCAGGAUGUCACGGGUUCAAAUCCCGUCCGCCGCUCCA
Molecule: transfer RNA, 75 nt
Filed under: Candidatus Omnitrophota bacterium
Lineage: Bacteria; Pseudomonadati; Candidatus Omnitrophota
Description: tRNA-Gly
Rfam family: tRNA
About the family: Transfer RNA (tRNA) molecules are approximately 80 nucleotides in length. Their secondary structure includes four short double-helical elements and three loops (D, anti-codon, and T loops). Further hydrogen bonds mediate the characteristic L-shaped molecular structure. tRNAs have two regions of fundamental functional importance: the anti-codon, which is responsible for specific mRNA codon recognition, and the 3' end, to which the tRNAs corresponding amino acid is attached (by aminoacyl-tRNA synthetases). tRNAs cope with the degeneracy of the genetic code in two manners: having more than one tRNA (with a specific anti-codon) for a particular amino acid; and 'wobble' base-pairing, i.e. permitting non-standard base-pairing at the 3rd anti-codon position.
Source: RNAcentral